RNAcentral lists this ribosomal RNA (483 nucleotides) under uncultured bacterium. Its description in RNAcentral is "partial 16S ribosomal RNA". It matches the Rfam family "Bacterial small subunit ribosomal RNA", at positions 28 to 523 of the family's 1533-position model. The record is from RNAcentral.
GACGAACGCUGGCGGCGUGCUUUACACAUGCAAGUCGAACGGUGAAGGUGGAGCUUGCUCCGCCGGAUCAGUGGCGAACGGGUGAGUAACACGUGGGCAACCUGCCCCUAACUUUGGGAUAACUACUCGAAAGAGUAGCUAAUACCGGAUAUGAAGUCUGUAGGCAUCUACGGACUUGGAAAGUUUUUCGGUUAGGGAUGGGCCCGCGGCCUAUCAGCGUGUUGGUGAGGUAGUGGCUCACCACGGCGACGACGGGUAGCCGGCCUGAGAGGGCGACCGGCCACACUGGGACUGAGACACGGCCCAGACUCCUACGGGAGGCAGCAGUGGGGAAUAUUGCGCAAUGGGCGAAAGCCUGACGCAGCAACGCCGCGUGCGGGAUGAAGGCCUUCGGGUUGUAAACCGCUUUCAGCAGGGAAGAAGCGAAAGUGACGGUACCUGCAGAAGAAGCACCGGCUAACUACGUGCCAGCAGCCGCGGUAA